AAAUUGAAGAGUUUGAUCAUGGCUCAGAUUGAACGCUGGCGGCAGGCCUAACACAUGCAAGUCGAACGGUAACAGGAAGCAGCUUGCUGCUUCGCUGACGAGUGGCGGACGGGUGAGUAAUGUCUGGGAAACUGCCUGAUGGAGGGGGAUAACUACUGGAAACGGUAGCUAAUACCGCAUAAUGUCGCAAGACCAAAGAGGGGGACCUUCGGGCCUCUUGCCAUCGGAUGUGCCCAGAUGGGAUUAGCUUGUUGGUGGGGUAACGGCUCACCUAGGCGACGAUCCCUAGCUGGUCUGAGAGGAUGACCAGCCACACUGGAACUGAGACACGGUCCAGACUCCUACGGGAGGCAGCAGUGGGGAAUAUUGCACAAUGGGCGCAAGCCUGAUGCAGCCAUGCCGCGUGUAUGAAGAAGGCCUUCGGGUUGUAAAGUACUUUCAGCGGGGAGGAAGGGAGUAAAGUUAAUACCUUUGCUCAUUGACGUUACCCGCAGAAGAAGCACCGGCUAACUCCGUGCCAGCAGCCGCGGUAAUACGGAGGGUGCAAGCGUUAAUCGGAAUUACUGGGCGUAAAGCGCACGCAGGCGGUUUGUUAAGUCAGAUGUGAAAUCCCCGGGCUCAACCUGGGAACUGCAUCUGAUACUGGCAAGCUUGAGUCUCGUAGAGGGGGGUAGAAUUCCAGGUGUAGCGGUGAAAUGCGUAGAGAUCUGGAGGAAUACCGGUGGCGAAGGCGGCCCCCUGGACGAAGACUGACGCUCAGGUGCGAAAGCGUGGGGAGCAAACAGGAUUAGAUACCCUGGUAGUCCACGCCGUAAACGAUGUCGACUUGGAGGUUGUGCCCUUGAGGCGUGGCUUCCGGAGCUAACGCGUUAAGUCGACCGCCUGGGGAGUACGGCCGCAAGGUUAAAACUCAAAUGAAUUGACGGGGGCCCGCACAAGCGGUGGAGCAUGUGGUUUAAUUCGAUGCAACGCGAAGAACCUUACCUGGUCUUGACAUCCACGGAAGUUUUCAGAGAUGAGAAUGUGCCUUCGGGAACCGUGAGACAGGUGCUGCAUGGCUGUCGUCAGCUCGUGUUGUGAAAUGUUGGGUUAAGUCCCGCAACGAGCGCAACCCUUAUCCUUUGUUGCCAGCGGUCCGGCCGGGAACUCAAAGGAGACUGCCAGUGAUAAACUGGAGGAAGGUGGGGAUGACGUCAAGUCAUCAUGGCCCUUACGACCAGGGCUACACACGUGCUACAAUGGCGCAUACAAAGAGAAGCGACCUCGCGAGAGCAAGCGGACCUCAUAAAGUGCGUCGUAGUCCGGAUUGGAGUCUGCAACUCGACUCCAUGAAGUCGGAAUCGCUAGUAAUCGUGGAUCAGAAUGCCACGGUGAAUACGUUCCCGGGCCUUGUACACACCGCCCGUCACACCAUGGGAGUGGGUUGCAAAAGAAGUAGGUAGCUUAACCUUCGGGAGGGCGCUUACCACUUUGUGAUUCAUGACUGGGGUGAAGUCGUAACAAGGUAACCGUAGGGGAACCUGCGGUUGGAUCACCUCCUUA
RNAcentral lists this ribosomal RNA (1542 nucleotides) under Escherichia coli. Its description in RNAcentral is "bacterial SSU rRNA". It matches the Rfam family "Bacterial small subunit ribosomal RNA". Lineage: Bacteria; Pseudomonadati; Pseudomonadota; Gammaproteobacteria; Enterobacterales; Enterobacteriaceae. The record is from RNAcentral.